GGCUGUGUGGUCUAGUGGUAUGAUUCUCGCUUCAGGUGCGAGAGAUCUCGAGGUCGAUUCUCGACACAGCCG
Molecule: transfer RNA, 72 nt
Filed under: Perkinsus olseni
Lineage: Eukaryota; Perkinsozoa; Perkinsida; Perkinsidae
Description: tRNA-Leu
Rfam family: tRNA
About the family: Transfer RNA (tRNA) molecules are approximately 80 nucleotides in length. Their secondary structure includes four short double-helical elements and three loops (D, anti-codon, and T loops).
Source: RNAcentral